AGUGAACGCUGGCGGUAGGCCUAACACAUGCAAGUCGAACGGCAGCACAGUAAGAGCUUGCUCUUACGGGUGGCGAGUGGCGGACGGGUGAGGAAUACAUCGGAAUCUACUUUUUCGUGGGGGAUAACGUAGGGAAACUUACGCUAAUACCGCAUACGACCUACGGGUGAAAGCAGGGGAUCUUCGGACCUUGCGCGAUUGAAUGAGCCGAUGUCGGAUUAGCUAGUUGGCGGGGUAAAGGCCCACCAAGGCGACGCUCCGUAGCUGGUCUGGGAGGAUGAUCAACCACACUGGAACUGAGGCACGGUCCAGACGCCUCCGGGACGCAGCAGUGGGUAAUAUUGGACAAAGGGCGCAAGCCUGAUCCAGCCAUACCGCGUGGGUGAAGAAGGCCUUCGGGUUGUAAAGCCCUUUUGUUGGGAAAGAAAAGCAGCAGGUUAAUACCCCGCUGUUCUGACGGUACCCAAAGAAUAAGCACCGGCUAACUUCGU
This 491-nucleotide ribosomal RNA is filed under the name uncultured bacterium. RNAcentral describes it as "partial 16S ribosomal RNA". It matches the Rfam family "Bacterial small subunit ribosomal RNA", at positions 29 to 506 of the family's 1533-position model. The record is from RNAcentral.